Molecule: ribosomal RNA, 465 nt
Filed under: uncultured bacterium
Lineage: Bacteria
Description: partial 16S ribosomal RNA
Rfam family: Bacterial small subunit ribosomal RNA
Source: RNAcentral
CCUACGGGGGGCAGCAGUAGGGAAUCUUCCACAAUGGACGAUAGCCUGAUGGAGCAACGCCGCGUGAGUGAAGAAGGGUUUCGGCUCGUAAAGCUCUGUUGGUAGGGAAGUAAGAUAGAGGUUGUAACUGGCUUUUCUUUUACGGUAAUUACUUAGAAAGUCACGGCUAAAUACGUGCCAGCAGCCGCGGUAAUACGUAGGUGGGAAGCGUUGUCCGGAUUUAUUGGGCGUAAAGGGAGUGGAGGCGGUUCGAUAAGUCUGAUGUGAAAGCCUUCGGCUCAACCGGAGAAUUGCAUCUGAAACUGGUGUACUUGAGUACAGUAGAGGUGGGUGGAAUUCGAUGUGUAGCGGUGGAAUGCGUAGAUAUAUGGAAGAACACCAAUGGCGAAGGCAGCUCUCUGGACUGCAACUGACGCUGAGGCUCGAAAGCAUGGGUAGCGAACAGGAUUAGAUACCCCUGUAGUC